CAAGGGGCUUCCUUGCUCAUCUGGAUAAACUCUCAGAAGAGGGUAAGAAUCAGAAGGGCUUUUCCUGGAGAAGGCGGCUUUGGCUCAGGAAUAUGUACAGAACCGUCAGUCCCUCACGUGAGAAAAACCUGGCGCAGAAGCUACUUGAGACGGAUGGAGGGGAGCUCAGUGAAGUCGUAAUAGAGAAGGAUGUGACUUCAGGGUUGGGUGCCGGAGGGAGGAGAGUGAAGCCCAAGAUACCACCACAGAGGGAGCCCCAGCCUGCCCCGGGCCACCUACAACGCUUCUAAUAUUGGCUUCUCAAUAAAAUACAUAAUUUUCUCUCAUUGAAGUGUAUGAACUCAUAACCAAUCCUAGCCAUCUGGUAAGGAAUUAAAGUACAAAUUGUUAAAUACUUACAUGCAAAUA
This is a long non-coding RNA of Manis pentadactyla (Chinese pangolin), 408 nucleotides long. RefSeq lists it as uncharacterized. The transcript has 3 exons. NCBI's taxonomy places the organism in Eukaryota, Metazoa, Chordata, Mammalia, Pholidota, Manidae. The record is from RefSeq and is a predicted model, not a curated record.